This 497-nucleotide ribosomal RNA is filed under the name uncultured bacterium. RNAcentral describes it as "partial 16S ribosomal RNA". It matches the Rfam family "Bacterial small subunit ribosomal RNA", at positions 28 to 507 of the family's 1533-position model. The record is from RNAcentral.
GAUGAACGCUGGCGGCGUGCCUAAUACAUGCAAGUCGAGCGAACGGACGAGAAGCUUUCUUCUCUGAUGUUAGCGGCGGACGGGUGAGUAACACGUGUCUAACCUACCUAUAAGACUGGGAUAACUUCGGGAAACCGGAGCUAAUACCGGAUGAUAUGUUGAACCGCAUGGUUCAAAAGUGAAAGCCGGUCUUGCUGUCACUUAUAGAUGUAUCCGCGCUGCAUUAGCUAGUUGGUAAGGUAACGGCUUACCAAGGCAACGAUGCAUAGCUGACCUGAGAGGGUGAUCAGCCACACUGGAACUGAGACACGGUCCAGACUCCUACGGGAGGCAGCAGUAGGGAAUCUUCCGCAAUGGGCGAAAGCCUGACGGAGCAACGCCGCGUGAGUGAUGAAGGUCUUCGGAUCGUAAAACUCUGUUAUUAGGGAAGAACAGAUGUGUAAGUAACUGUGCACAUCUUGACGGUACCUAAUCAGAAAGCCACGGCUAACUACGUG